GAUGAACGCUGGCGGCGUGCUUAACACAUGCAAGUCGAACGGAAAGGCCCAAGCUUGCUUGGGUACUCGAGUGGCGAACGGGUGAGUAACACGUGGGUGAUCUGCCCUGCACUUCGGGAUAAGCCUGGGAAACUGGGUCUAAUACCGGAUAGGACCACUUCUUGGAUGUUGUGGUGGAAAGUUUUUUCGGUGUGGGAUGAGCUCGCGGCCUAUCAGCUUGUUGGUGGGGUAAUGGCCUACCAAGGCGUCGACGGGUAGCCGGCCUGAGAGGGUGUACGGCCACAUUGGGACUGAGAUACGGCCCAGACUCCUACGGGAGGCAGCAGUGGGGAAUAUUGCACAAUGGGCGCAAGCCUGAUGCAGCGACGCCGCGUGGGGGAUGACGGCCUUCGGGUUGUAAACUCCUUUCGCUAGGGACAAAGCGUUUUUGUGACGGUACCUGGAGAAGAAGCACCGGCUAACUACGUG
RNAcentral lists this ribosomal RNA (468 nucleotides) under uncultured bacterium. RNAcentral's name for it is "partial 16S ribosomal RNA". It matches the Rfam family "Bacterial small subunit ribosomal RNA", at positions 28 to 507 of the family's 1533-position model. The record is from RNAcentral.